Molecule: long non-coding RNA, 562 nt
Filed under: Prunus dulcis (almond)
Lineage: Eukaryota; Viridiplantae; Streptophyta; Magnoliopsida; Rosales; Rosaceae
Description: sRNA ncRNA
Source: RNAcentral
CCUCCUUCUUCGUUUUUGUUAUUGAAUUGUGAUGGAUCUCUUAGAAAAGAAGGUUGUAUUAGAGGGUCUGGUGGUGUCUUAAGGGAUUUUGAGGGUAACUUUAUUUGGGGGUUUGCAAAUAAGGGUCCAGCAGAUUUGGAUGUUUUGGCUAUUGAAUGUGUUGCUAUACACAUGGGUUUGAUGAAGGCUGCCGAGUUGGGACUAUCUUGUUUCGUGGUAGCAUCAGUCUCGCAAGAAGUGGUGGCUUUACUGAAGAGUGAUGGUGAGCUAUAAAGUAAUUUGGAAAUAUUGUGGACGACACUAGAAGGUUGAUGGUGCAGUUGUGUGUUGGUGACGUUCGUUUUCAGCCGUGAUUGGGGAAUUGACUAGCCCAUGGUAUGGCGCAGUUUGGAUUGCGAGAACAACAUCCGUCUUUCUGGGAUGGUUUAGCUUCUGACUGACUAGUAUUAAUGUUGGUAACAUACAUGGAGGGUGGGUAGUUUUAUUUGUCUUAUUGCUUGCGGAUGUUGUGGUAGUCUUUUUUCUUGACCCAAUUUUCUAUAUUAGGGGUUUUUAUGGCAAG